Long non-coding RNA from Coccinella septempunctata (seven-spotted ladybird), 915 nucleotides. RefSeq lists it as uncharacterized. The record is from RefSeq and is a predicted model, not a curated record. The transcript is spliced from 2 exons. Lineage: Eukaryota; Metazoa; Arthropoda; Insecta; Coleoptera; Coccinellidae.
CUUCGUAUAGUAAUUUGGGUUGCCUACUGGUUUCGAGUUCGACGAAUUUAAAUUAUCUCGGGGAAUGUUUAUCGGGUUUUUUUUUCCAUAUGUGCCAGAUACGGUAAUUUCCUUCAAGAAAGAAUUCACUUUCGUACUCCGAAAUUGGGAAAGUAGAUAUUUCGAUUUAUUCUGUGGAAAUCCAAGAGUUUUGGGAUGAAAAUAUUUUCCUGAUUUCUUUCAAUAUUGUAUUGCAAGUUGGUUAUUUGAUGAAGCAAUAUAAUACCCAAAUUUGGGGAUCAUUGGAGUGUAUUGAAAGAGUAUCUUUCUCCAUUAGGCCACACAACAUCAAAGGCCUUUUUUUUCCCGACUUUUUCUCCUCGAGUUUACGUUUGGAAUAUAACGUAAAAUAUAAGAGUGCGGUCGACAGAGAAUUCAAUUUACCUAAGAUCCAAGAACAUUAAGGAUACUGAACGAGCGCUGCAGAUUUUUUGUUUAUGUUCAAUUUUUGUCUUCACGAGUUUGGACUCACAGGAUUGAGAAUUGGUGACGUAGUUUUAAUAAUAGUUUCAAUCCUGCUGUUCAUCAAACUGGUAUGUACAGAUAAUUUCGAUUUCGAUUGCUGGUACCAAUCAAGAAUACCUUGUGACAUAGGAACUUUUCUAGUGAAGUUGAUUUUGGAGUUUUGACAUUAAUAAGUGAAUAUCUGAAUAUCUGAACCUAUAGAGUAAAUACACAUAUAAAUGAUCAUUACCUAUUGUUCAAAUACAAAAUUUGUCAACUGAUAUUGAUCAAGUGAGGUGCACCUUCAAUAUUUUUUUGUGAAAGCUUUAAUAUUAUUACGUUACUACUUAAUGUUAGGCUCAAGAUUUUGUUGGAAAUUUCGCUAGAAUUGUGCUCGAAUUCGACGUUACAUAUUAAAUUCUUUUCAUAUUC